GAUGAACGCUGGCGGCGUGCCUAAUACAUGCAAGUCGAGCGAACGGACGAGAAGCUUGCUUCUCUGAUGUUAGCGGCGGACGGGAGAGUAACACGUGGAUAACCUACCUAUAAGACUGGGAUAACUUCGGGAAACCGGAGCUAAUACCGGAUGAUAUUUUGCACUGCAUGGUUCAAAAGUGAAAGACGGUCUUGCUGUCACUUAUAGAUGGAUCCGCCCUGCAUUAGUUAGUUGGUAAGGUAACGGCUUACCAAGGCAACGAUGCAUAGCCGACCAGAGCGGGUGGUCGGACACACUGGAACUGAGACACGGUCCAGACUCCGACAGGAGGCAGCAGUAGGGAAUCUUCCGCAAUGGGCGAAAGCCUGACGGAGCAACGCCGCGGGAGGGAUGAAGGUCUUCGGAUCGUAAAACUCUGUUAUUAGGGAAGAACAUAUGUGUAAGUAACUGUGCACAUCUUGACGGUACCUAAUCAGAAAGCCACGGCUAACUACGUG
RNAcentral lists this ribosomal RNA (497 nucleotides) under uncultured bacterium. RNAcentral's name for it is "partial 16S ribosomal RNA". It matches the Rfam family "Bacterial small subunit ribosomal RNA", at positions 28 to 507 of the family's 1533-position model. The record is from RNAcentral.